CACAACUCAUGGCUAUUCGUGGACAAGUUCCCUCUUCCCUCGUUCAUUUUUUCAGCGUCUGUCUCGUCGGAAGCCGCGAGAAGAACUGCCGAUCGCAAAAAUGGUGGCUCAGAAGAAACAG
Temnothorax curvispinosus is the source of this 121-nucleotide long non-coding RNA. RefSeq lists it as uncharacterized. Lineage: Eukaryota; Metazoa; Arthropoda; Insecta; Hymenoptera; Formicidae. The transcript has 2 exons. The record is from RefSeq and is a predicted model, not a curated record.